AACGAACGCUGGCGGCAUGCCUAACACAUGCAAGUCGAACGAGAUCUUCGGGUCUAGUGGCGCACGGGUGCGUAACGCGUGGGAAUCUGCCCUUUGGUUCGGAAUAACAGUUGGAAACGACUGCUAAUACCGGAUGAUGACGAAAGUCCAAAGAUUUAUCGCCAGAGGAUGAGCCCGCGUAGGAUUAGCUAGUUGGUGUGGUAAAGGCGCACCAAGGCGACGAUCCUUAGCUGGUCUGAGAGGAUGAUCAGCCACACUGGGACUGAGACGCGGCCCAGACUCCUACGGGAGGCAGCUGUGGGGAAUAUUGGACAAUGGGCGAAAGCCUGAUCCAGCAAUGCCGCGUGAGUGAUGAAGGCCUUAGGGUUGUAAAGCUCUUUUACCCGGGAUGAUAAUGACAGUACCGGGAGAAUAAGCUCCGGCUAACUCCGUGCCAGCCGCCGCAGUAA
RNAcentral lists this ribosomal RNA (449 nucleotides) under uncultured bacterium. RNAcentral's name for it is "partial 16S ribosomal RNA". It matches the Rfam family "Bacterial small subunit ribosomal RNA", at positions 29 to 523 of the family's 1533-position model. The record is from RNAcentral.